CGGGUUGUCAUGCCAAUGGCACUGCCCGGUAGCUAAAUGCGGAAGAGAUAAGUGCUGAAAGCAUCUAAGCACGAAACUUGCCCCGAGAUGAGUUCUCCCUGAGACUUUAAGUCUCCUGAAGGAACGUUAAAGACGAUGACGUUGAUAGGCCGGGUGUGUAAGCGCAGCGAUGCGUUGAGCUAACCGGUACUAAUGAACCGUGAGGCUUAACCUU
This 214-nucleotide ribosomal RNA is filed under the name Klebsiella pneumoniae. Its description in RNAcentral is "partial 23S ribosomal RNA". It matches the Rfam family "Bacterial large subunit ribosomal RNA", at positions 2717 to 2925 of the family's 2925-position model. The record is from RNAcentral. Lineage: Bacteria; Pseudomonadati; Pseudomonadota; Gammaproteobacteria; Enterobacterales; Enterobacteriaceae.